Molecule: ribosomal RNA, 414 nt
Filed under: Triticum aestivum (bread wheat)
Lineage: Eukaryota; Viridiplantae; Streptophyta; Magnoliopsida; Poales; Poaceae
Description: partial small subunit ribosomal RNA
Source: RNAcentral
AUGGCCAACGUUGUCCUCAACUUCAACGCGUUCCUAGAGAAAACCAAGCUGAAAGAUGAUGGUAGCAACUAUACGGACUGGGUCCGGAACCUGAGGAUCAUCCUCAUAGCUGCCAAGAAAGAUUAUGUCCUACGAGCACCGCUAGGUGAAGCACCUGCUUUCCCUGCAGAACAAGACGUUAUGAACGCUUGGCAGACACGUGCUGAUGAUUACUCCCUCAUUCAGUGCGGCAUGCUUUACAGCUUAGAACUGGGGCUCCAAAAGCAUUUUGAGCGACACAGAACAUAUGAGAUGUUCGAAGAGCUGAAAAUGGUUUUCCAAGCUCAUGCCCGGGUCGAGAGAUAUGAAGUCUUCGACAAGUUCUUCAGCUGUAAGAUGGAGGAAAAUAGUUCUGUUAGUGAGCACAUACUCAGA